Molecule: unclassified non-coding RNA, 428 nt
Filed under: Hevea brasiliensis (rubber tree)
Lineage: Eukaryota; Viridiplantae; Streptophyta; Magnoliopsida; Malpighiales; Euphorbiaceae
Source: RNAcentral
UCCCCCCAACUGGUUUAAAGAUGGCCUCAACAUUCAUUGGGAACUCAACUUCAAUUCAGGAAAUGUUCCGCAGGGUGAGUGAACAGUUCACUGCCAUGUUCCGUAGGAAGGCUUUCUUGCACUGGUACACAGGAGAGGGUAUGGAUGAGAUGGAGUUUACUGAGGCAGAGAGUAACUAUGAAUGAUCUUGUUUCUGAGUACCAACAAUACCAAGAUGCAACAGCAGAUGACGAGGGUUAUGAGUACGAGGAUGAAGAGGACAUUCAAGAAGAGGCUUAAAUGCUCUAUUUUUUGUGUUAGGUUGUAUGUUUGUUGCAAAUUUGUUGUGGAUUUAAUGUUUUCCUUUUGUACCUGAAUGCCUUAUUUGGGACUUCGGAUUGUGAUGUAUGGAUGUGUUUACUUGGAAAAUGUGAUAUUGUAGUUUAGGC